This 492-nucleotide ribosomal RNA is filed under the name uncultured bacterium. RNAcentral describes it as "partial 16S ribosomal RNA". It matches the Rfam family "Bacterial small subunit ribosomal RNA", at positions 29 to 507 of the family's 1533-position model. The record is from RNAcentral.
AGUGAACGCUGGCGGUAGGCCUAGCACAUGCAAGUCGAACGGCAGCACAGUAAGAGCUUGCUCUUACGGGUGGCGAGUGGCGGACGGGUGAGGAAUACAGCGGAAUCUACUUUUUCGUGGGGGAUAACGUAGGGAAACUUACGCUAAUACCGCAUACGACCUACGGGUGAAAGCAGGGGAUCUUCGGAACUUGCGCGAGUGAAUGAGCCGAUGUCGGAUUAGCUAGUUGGCGGGGUAAAGGCCCACCAAGGCGACGAUCCGUAGCUGGUCUGAGAGGAUGAUCAGCCACACUGGAACUGAGACACGGUCCAGACUCCUACGGGAGGCAGCAGUGGGGAAUAUUGGACAAUGGGCGCAAGCCUGAUCCAGCCAUACCGCGUGGGUGAAGAAGGCCUUCGGGCUGUAAAGCCCUUUUGUUGGGAAAGAAAAGCAGCAGGUUAAUACCCCGCUGUUCUGACGGUACCCAAAGAAUAAGCACCGGCUAACUUCAUG